CUAAGGUAGCGAAAUUCCUUGUCGGGUAAGUUCCGACCUGCACGAAUGGCGUAACGACUUCCCCACUGUCUCCAGCAUCGACUCAGCGAAAUUGAAUUCCCCGUGAAGAUGCGGGGUUCCUGCGGUCAGACGGAAAGACCCCGUGCACCUUUACUACAGCUUUGCAGUGGUAUCAGGAUGUGAAUGUGCAGAAUAGGUGGGAGGCUUUGAAGCCAUGGCGCCAGCCAUGGUGGAGCCACCUUUGAGAUACCACCCUUUUGCUUCCUGAUAUCUAACCGAGGUCCGUUAUCCGGAUCCGGGACCCUGCAUGGCGGGUAGUUUGACUGGGGCGGUCGCCUCCUAAAGAG
This 347-nucleotide ribosomal RNA is filed under the name Pseudo-nitzschia fraudulenta. RNAcentral's name for it is "partial Bacterial large subunit ribosomal RNA". It matches the Rfam family "Bacterial large subunit ribosomal RNA", at positions 1951 to 2297 of the family's 2925-position model. The record is from RNAcentral. Lineage: Eukaryota; Bacillariophyta; Bacillariophyceae; Bacillariales; Bacillariaceae.